RNAcentral lists this ribosomal RNA (356 nucleotides) under uncultured bacterium. RNAcentral describes it as "bacterial SSU rRNA". It matches the Rfam family "Bacterial small subunit ribosomal RNA", at positions 65 to 422 of the family's 1533-position model. The record is from RNAcentral.
AACGUGAGAGAGUAGCAAUAUUCUUGAAAGUGGCGAACGGGUGAGUAACACGUGGAUAACCUGCCCUGGAGUGGGGGAUAACAACUAGAAAUGGUUGCUAAUACCGCAUGAGGCUGAGGUGACGGGAGUCAUUUCAGCGAAAACUCUGGUGCUUCAGGAGGGGUCUGCGGCCGAUUAGCUAGUUGGUGGGGUAACGGCCUACCAAGGCGUCGACGGGUAGCUGGUCUGAGAGGACGAUCAGCCACACUGGGACUGAGACACGGCCCAGACUCCUACGGGAGGCAGCAGUGGGGAAUCUUGCGCAAUGGGCGAAAGCCUGACGCAGCAACGCCGCGUGCGGGAUGAAGGCCUUCGGG